AUUGAACGCUGGCGGCAUGCCUUACACAUGCAAGUCGAACGGUAACAGGUUAAGCUGACGAGUUGCGAACGGGGGAGUCAUGUAUCGGAACGUGCCCAGUCGUGGGGGAUAACUGCUCGAAAGAGCAGCUAAUACCGCAUACGACCUGAGGGUGAAAGCGGGGGAUCGCAAGACCUCGCGCGAUUGGAGCGGCCGAUAUCAGAUUAGGUAGUUGGUGAGGUAAAGGCUCACCAAGCCGACGAUCUGUAGCUGGUCUGAGAGGACGACCAGCCACACUGGGACUGAGACACGGCCCAGACUCCUACGGGAGGCAGCAGUGGGGAAUUUUGGACAAUGGGCGCAAGCCUGAUCCAGCCAUGCCGCGUGCGGGAAGAAGGCCUUCGGGUUGUAAACCGCUUUUGUCAGGGAAGAAAAGGUUCUGGCUAAUACCUGGGACUCAUGACGGUACCUGAAGAAUAAGCACCGGCUAACUACGUG
This 477-nucleotide ribosomal RNA is filed under the name uncultured bacterium. RNAcentral describes it as "partial 16S ribosomal RNA". It matches the Rfam family "Bacterial small subunit ribosomal RNA", at positions 30 to 507 of the family's 1533-position model. The record is from RNAcentral.